AUGUAUCUGAUCACUACUGUAGUAGGGUUGGCAGGUUAGACAGGUGGUAUUUAUCUGAUCACUACUGUAGUAGGGUUGGAAGGUUAGACAGGUUGUGUGUAUCUGAUCACUACUGUAGUAGGGUUGGAAGGUUAGACAGGUGGUAUGUAUCUGAUCUCUACUGUAGUAGGGUUGGAAGGUUAGACAGGUGGUAUGUAUCUGAUCACUACUGUGGUAGGGUUGGAAGGUUAGACAGGGUGUAUGUAUCUGAUCUCUACUGUAGUAGGGUUGGAAGGUUAGACAGGUUGUAUGUAUCUGAUCACUACUGUAGUAGGGUUGGAAGGUUAGACAGGUGGUAUGUAUCUGAUCACUACUGUAGUAGGGUUGGAAGGUUAGACAGGUGGUAUGUAUCUGAUCACUACUGUAGUAGGGUUGGAAGGUUAGACAGGUGGUAUGUAUCUGAUCACUACUGUAGUAGGGUUGGAAGGUUAGACAGGUGGU
Oncorhynchus keta (chum salmon) is the source of this 480-nucleotide long non-coding RNA. RefSeq lists it as uncharacterized. The record is from RefSeq and is a predicted model, not a curated record. The transcript is spliced from 3 exons. NCBI's taxonomy places the organism in Eukaryota, Metazoa, Chordata, Actinopteri, Salmoniformes, Salmonidae.